Long non-coding RNA from Scophthalmus maximus (turbot), 1537 nucleotides. RefSeq lists it as uncharacterized. NCBI's taxonomy places the organism in Eukaryota, Metazoa, Chordata, Actinopteri, Pleuronectiformes, Scophthalmidae. The record is from RefSeq and is a predicted model, not a curated record. The transcript has 2 exons.
GCCCUGACAUUUUGAUUAUCGGACGUACGAGCCAUGCCCUGUAACCAACAGGAAGUUGGCCAGUUCUUUUCCAAAGUCUUUCUUUUGUCAUUUUCCACGUUUCAUACUUUAACGAACUCCUCAUACAGAUUUGACAUGAGCAACUUCAAAGGUGGUGUGUGUCAUCUAAAAGUCUAUGGGAUGAAAAGCUGUUAAAACCCUGAGGCCUUUGCCGUGACGACCUGUCGAAGCUCGAUCCUUCGCCCGUCCAAUUGGGUUUAUGGUUGCAGGUGUAAGUGGAAGGCACUUCCACAUUGACUUCACAUUCUGGACCCAUUAACUGUAUCCAUUAUAAUAUGGUUUCACCCAAAACUUGAAUUUCCAUCUACAUCUGAACUAAAUAUCAUGUAUUUAUUGAGUUUUGCCGUCAUCUCGCAAUAUCAAAGAAUCCUUAAAAAAAAUUCCUUGAUCCAGAUCGGGAUCUUGAUUCCCCGCUGCCAUGACCCAGACCUAUCUUUGACAUUUUCAUGCAAAUCCAUCCCUAACUUUUUGAGUAAUCCUGCAAACAAACAGACAAACAGACAGACCAAAACAAUCAGGCAACAAUCAUGGCACCUUAACUUCACACUGAAAUAUACAACAGCACGGGAGGGUGAAGUGAUGAUGCGAAUCAGAAUGUCUCCAUCUAUUCCCAGUCACAUUCUCUCAUUUACAAAAAGAUGAACAACUACUCAUAUGUAUUCAUUUCUAAUAAAUUCAUAGGAGUUGAAACGUCCCGUAUAAGGUUUGCAAGAGCCCCAUCUCCUGUUUUCCCUUUGUACACGCUGAGUAACAUCCUCAGACUUCUAGAAACAACUGUCUCAUUGAGCGACUUUUUCAAAGAACUCAAGUGACGAUGCCUGACCCCUCAACUUCUUGAAGAAAAGCUUGAAAUCUUUUGGACAACGUAUGGUCACAAGUGAUUGGAGUGUGAGACUGAACAAAGUGAACUUGUUGCUUAAAGUUAUGGUCAUGUGGUGAAAGUCACAAGUCCUGAAGAUGUGGACCAAAUCGAUGACCUCAGCUGGUCUCGCUGGUCUCGCUGUGACUCGCUGUAUGACAGGCAUGUCAAAAAACAAACACCUGAGUGGCCCACAUCCCUGAGCAGACCCCAACGGACCAAUCACAGCAGCUCGACCUGGUUCACUGUAAAAUCUCACUGUAUAAUUCAAAUCAUGGCCAGGAACUGAGUUUGGUUUGUAUCAAUAUAGAAAUAUGAUUUUAAUCUGAUCAACAAGAAUGAGUGAUGUGUUUGGUAUUAUAUAACUUCAAACUUCUACUUUUUUUUGCCUCCAAUAUGUGUUUUCUCCUUCAUUUUUUUAUUUUAUUGUAUUCCACUCUUUAUUUUUCUGUGAUGUAUUUUACUGGAACAUUUUAAUCUUUUUUUUCCUACAGAGCUCUCCCUAUGAAUUUUCCCCCGACUUUAUUUAUGACAAGCUCUGUAUAAAAAAGUACAUAUCACUUGCAAGAAACACACAACAAUAUGUUCUCAGUAAAUAAAAUAUUCUAAAUAAAUACA